RNAcentral lists this ribosomal RNA (278 nucleotides) under uncultured bacterium. RNAcentral's name for it is "partial 16S ribosomal RNA". It matches the Rfam family "Bacterial small subunit ribosomal RNA", at positions 29 to 334 of the family's 1533-position model. The record is from RNAcentral.
AACGAACGCUGGCGGCGGGCCUAACACAUGCAAGUCGAACGGUGCCUUCGGGCAUAGUGGCGCACGGGUGCGUAACGCGUGGGAAUAUACCCUUUGGUGCGGAAUAAUAUUUGGAAACGAAUACUAAUACCGCAUAAUGGCUCCGGCCCAAAGAUUUAUCGCCAAAGGAUUAGCCCGCGUCUGAUUAGGUAGUUGGUGGGGUAAAAGCCUACCAAGCCGACGAUCAGUAGCUGGUCUGAGAGGAUGACCAGCCACACUGGGACUGAGACACGGCCCAG